GAAUUCAAUACAAUUUUUGAGAAAAACUACAAUCAGAAACAUGUAGUCCUUCUGCAAUAGGACUUCAGAGUCUGAAUCAAAUAUUUUAUUGAAUUUGUAGUCUAACUUUCAAUUUUCAAUUAGACAAAUAUAGUGAAACAUUGUCGUAGCCUGCCUUGGAAUUAAGUGAAUAUAUUUUUGAGUUUAAUAACCAUUUGGAUGUAAAGCCAUUUAACUAUUUGAAUACAUUUGUAUUGUCUCUUAAUCAAAUCGAAUUUAUUUUGGAAACAGAGAUAAGAAAACCAGAAAAUUGCAUAUAAAUAUAAUAAAUGUCCAAAAAUGCUAAAUGAACCUUUUCAAAAAGUUAUGGUGGCCUAAAAUUAAACGUAGCUAUUAAGUAACGAGUGAAUGUACAUUUUGUUUUGUGUAAAGAGUAAAGAGUCGGAAGCCAAUCAAUCGGAAACUUCCCUGCCUGGAAAUUUCUAAGUUUUCCAUGUGAAUGAAAUGCAAUCGAAUAAUUCUGUUUGCAUUAGUUUUCCGUAGGAAUUGUACAACUUAAAAUAGUAUGAUUUUUUUUUAAUUUCAUCCAAUAGAAAAGUAUCGUCAGCAUUCAAGUUAGUUUUGAAUUCGAAAAACUACUGUGUUUUAAAAGUGUUUUAGACAAAACGAUAUAAAUUUUCACUCAACGGCCACAAAAUGCUCGUCCACAAUCCAAUUAUAGCAGAAUGCUCAUGCUUUGGAGAUAGCUCCUAAAAUUGGUGACGGGUCAGUGGGAUGGGCAGGAAGCUGGUGGCUGCUAGCUGGCAGUUGGCCGGCUUGUACGUUCGGCUGUUAUGGUUGGCAAUAUUUAAAAUUAUUUAAUUAACGAAUUGAGUUAUGCUGCCAUUGCCCAUAGCCCCGGCCGGAGACGAGGCCAAUAGCCAGCCCCCCGCCCCGGCACACUCGGACCGCAUUUUAAGCCCGCCUGGAAUGGUAAUUUAAAUCCGAACUCCGGAUGCGAUUGGGGCUCGGACUCACAUACUUUGUUAUCUGGGGGCUUUCCGUGCUU
Molecule: long non-coding RNA, 1027 nt
Organism: Drosophila ananassae
Lineage: Eukaryota; Metazoa; Arthropoda; Insecta; Diptera; Drosophilidae
Exons: 3
Source: RefSeq, a predicted model, not a curated record